GAGUGAGAUGAUGCCCUACCAUCUUUCGGGACUGACCUGGAAUGGAGAAAUCUUUUUUUUAUUACUGAUCACUC
Anguilla rostrata (American eel) is the source of this 74-nucleotide small nucleolar RNA. RefSeq annotates it as small nucleolar RNA SNORD2. NCBI's taxonomy places the organism in Eukaryota, Metazoa, Chordata, Actinopteri, Anguilliformes, Anguillidae. The record is from RefSeq and is a predicted model, not a curated record. The transcript has a single exon.